This 253-nucleotide ribosomal RNA is filed under the name uncultured bacterium. RNAcentral describes it as "partial 16S ribosomal RNA". It matches the Rfam family "Bacterial small subunit ribosomal RNA", at positions 524 to 776 of the family's 1533-position model. The record is from RNAcentral.
UACAGAGGGUGCAAGCGUUAAUCGGAAUUACUGGGCGUAAAGCGCGCGUAGGUGGUUCGUUAAGUUGGAUGUGAAAUCCCCGGGCUCAACCUGGGAACUGCACUCAAAACUGUCGAGCUAGAGUAUGGUAGAGGGUGGUGGAAUUUCCUGUGUAGCGGUGAAAUGCGUAGAUAUAGGAAGGAACACCAGUGGCGAAGGCGACCACCUGGACUGAUACUGACACUGAGGUGCGAAAGCGUGGGGAGCAAACAGG